CACGCGGUCAGGUGUUCUGUGACGCAUUCGUGCGCCGGCGUGCAAGUUAUUGUGUGAGCGCGCCCUGCAAUAUCUUGUGGGCGAGUGUACAUCGAGAGCAUGUCCGUGAUGGUCUUGUUCAAGUGCUCAGUAAGUCCGUUGGAAUGCGGAUGUGGACGGGACACCAUGACGCAAUACAAUGUGGAACAUGAAGAAUUGCGCUACCUCAGAAGCUGUGGCUCAUGGGAGCGCCUGUCUCUGCAGUCUCUGCAGAGCGGGUUAAAUAAUGGUAUCGAUGUGCGUCAUCGGCGAGCCACCACCGCAGCCUGAUGCGUCAUCAGACCUUUGGUGCCGCUCGCCCCAGCGCAAUCCAGUGCUUCAGCCAGAACAAUGCAGCCCGGCCACAUACAAGGAAAACCCUUUGAACGUUACCUCACUUCCCAUGGAUUCAUCAUCGCCAUCGUCCCUGACAUAAUCGGAUCAGCUGUCUUUAAAGACCGGGCUCUCGUUCUUCUUCAGUGGGCAGGAAAGAGCGGCUACAAUGCGGACGUCCCAAAUCUUUCUUUGCUUCUCGAUACAGGCCAAUGAGGCUGACGUCAAAAUGUGCUGGAUCUGGGCACCGAGACGAGCAAGCUGCGAUGCGUCCCAAACGAACUGGAACUGGAACUGGAACCAGGAACUGGAAACCAGGAUAUGGACUUCCAGCCUCAAGUGGCCGAAGAAAAACAGUAGGAAACGAACCUCACGCUUAAGGCACCUUCAACUGGCCGUUUGUAUAGAGGCGUUCAGGACCAUCUCCAUAUCCUUCUGAAUAAUGAGUUUUGCAAAUGAGACGCAGAAUACCCUCCAAGGCUGGUUACGCUCCCAGAAGUAGAGUUGACCGUAUAUGGUAUAAUUAGAAAACAAGACAUGUUCAAUAAACCCGUACAACAACUAACGCUAUACCAAAUAUACGGGGUGUCUCAGCAAACACUUUCAUUUUUUUUUUAAUUUGCCUUUG
Long non-coding RNA from Dermacentor albipictus, 979 nucleotides. RefSeq lists it as uncharacterized. The record is from RefSeq and is a predicted model, not a curated record. Lineage: Eukaryota; Metazoa; Arthropoda; Arachnida; Ixodida; Ixodidae.